GAAGAAGAAGAAGAAAAGAGAAGAAAGAUUUUGCUAGCUACCUUCUCUCCUCCCCAUUCUUGUCAUCCAAGUUGUUCUUGCUUCAAAUAUUAUUCUCUCCUUGUUCUGUCUCUCUCAAAUUCAAUUUGGUUUUACAUUGUUCCUUGCUUUACCUCGCAUGAGCCACUCAUAUUAUCAAUGAUAUUUCAUGACUGGUUGAAUGGGGUUUGAUAACUACAAGUAGAAAAUAAUCUUGAAAAUCCUAAGUGUUAAAUAUCCCAUCUAAAAUCAAAUUUUUUAUCUGAUGUUGAUCAGAAUGAUUUAAUAAUCUAUAUGUAGAUUUGUAUAUGCAUCUUUUUCUCAUUUUCUUAAAAUUUUUUGCAGGCCCCAGGGAGUAGGAGGCUUUAGCACUGAGGGAGGUGCUUUUGGUGCCAUAAAUAUGGAUCAACGGUUGGCUGGUAGAUUCUCAGCCCCUGCUACCCCGUCGCCUUUCUCUUCUGUUGGAGGGAACCCUUUUGGAUGAGCUUGUUGAUGCAUCAGCUUGUUGCCUCCUUCAAAUUACUGGGCUGAAAGUUUUGGUUUUAUUAUUUAACUUGAAUCAUCCAGCCAAAUUGAACAAUGCUCAUGUUUAUCAAGCGUUAGGGUCAAAUGUCCAUAUGAUCCCUGAAAAUUAAUUUGAGAGAGUGAGCAGUUUUAUAAAUUAUAAGAGUGGACACGUCGGUGGGGAUUUAAUCAUUUAGGUCUGCUCCUAGAAGUCAUCCCCCCACCCCACCUGUAUGAUUUUGUAAUUUCUUCAUAUUAUGGUGAUCUGUUUGAGUCUGUGAAAAGCGUGUGGAUCAUUUACAAAUAGUUUUGAGUACAAUUUGUAUGCAUAUAUUGUUGAGAUGAUUUUUCUUUCAAGACUUCUUAAGUAUAAUUUGAUAUUUGCAUCCCAUUUGGC
Molecule: unclassified non-coding RNA, 919 nt
Filed under: Hevea brasiliensis (rubber tree)
Lineage: Eukaryota; Viridiplantae; Streptophyta; Magnoliopsida; Malpighiales; Euphorbiaceae
Source: RNAcentral